GUGAAAUGUCUGGAGAGUAAGUCAUAUGAGACACAGCUGAGAGAGCUGGGGUUGUUUAGCUUGGAGAAAAAGGGAGCUCAGGGGAGACCUUAUCCCUCUACAACUGCCUGAAAGGAGACUGAGGUCAGGUCUUUUUUCAGAAAUUAACAGCCUACAAAAGAUAAUGAGCUCUGUGAAUCUUAUUAAAGCAAGUUACAGCUGACUGACAAGUAAAUUCUUCCAGAUGAGACCAACUGGCCAGUGGGCCUGGCAGCUGAUUUCCAGUGGGGGCACUGUCCUGUGCUGCAAGGCAGCUCUGUCAUCCACACAACUUCAGAUCCUCCCAAAUGAUGCUUUCACAUGAUUUGGAUGGUACAAAGGCCUUUAUUUCUUUUUUAAUCAUUAUCAAUUCAAAUGUGACAUUUUCAGUUUUAAUACCUUACUUUUUUUCCCUUUGCUUCCCAAAAUAGAAGCUCAAAAGUGUUUCAGUUCCCUUCGUGAAAUAAGGCUCUCUACAGAAUUUGACCCUUUUUAAUUUUUAAUAUUAUUGUUAGGUUUGUAUUGGAAAACUGUACUGUCUGAGCUAGUACAGAACCACUUUACCAGCUCCUGUCUCCAGAAAGGUGAUUUUUCCUUCACUUUUUGGAGUGUGGAGUGAUGUUGUACUAACACUAAGUAAAUUACUCCAACAGCAGCUUGUAGUGGAGAAAUUAUACUGUGUAAUAUUUUACAAUGUUUUCAGUCCUUUACUCCCAUAUCAGCAAAACUUCACCUGAGAAAUUAAUGAAACUGUGAGCUGAGUGGUGGGAAUUGUUGGAAAGAGAAACACUUUACACAUGAGUUGUUUAGCAGUUGGAAAUGCAGUUCCUGUGUUCAUUUUCUUAAAUGCAAGAAAAGACAUUUCAGACUUGAUGUAUAAGUAAAGACAGGAAAUAUUCCUAAUAAAAAAGGAAAUGUCAAAAUUCACAUGGCUAGAAAAUGAUGCUAAUGUGUGAUUUUUUUCCCUCAAAAAUAAAUGAUCAUGUAGAGGAACUUAGCACAUACACUUCCACACACAUGCACAAGAAAGGCCAGAAGAAUGUUUCUGCUCCUGACAUGAAGAGCUUCAAGCAUUUUGUUAGAUCUCUUUCUAGUCAGU
Haemorhous mexicanus (house finch) is the source of this 1117-nucleotide long non-coding RNA. RefSeq lists it as uncharacterized. Lineage: Eukaryota; Metazoa; Chordata; Aves; Passeriformes; Fringillidae. The record is from RefSeq and is a predicted model, not a curated record. The transcript has 3 exons.